This 338-nucleotide ribosomal RNA is filed under the name uncultured bacterium. Its description in RNAcentral is "bacterial SSU rRNA". It matches the Rfam family "Bacterial small subunit ribosomal RNA", at positions 152 to 507 of the family's 1533-position model. The record is from RNAcentral.
GGAAACUCGAGCUAAUACCGGAUGUCUUCUUCUGAUCGCAUGGUCGGAUGAAGAAAGAUUUAUCGCUUCGGGAGGGUCUCGCGGCCUAUCAGCUAGUUGGCGGGGCAACGGCCCACCAAGGCGUCGACGGGUAGCUGGUCUGAGAGGACGAUCAGCCACACUGGGACUGAGACACGGCCCAGACUCCUACGGGAGGCAGCAGUGGGGAAUAUUGCGCAAUGGGCGAAAGCCUGACGCAGCAACGCCGCGUGCGGGAUGAAGGCCUUCGGGUUGUAAACCGCUUUCAGUGGGGACGAAUUCAGACGGUACCCACAGAAGAAGCCCCGGCCAACUACGUG